This 389-nucleotide ribosomal RNA is filed under the name uncultured beta proteobacterium. Its description in RNAcentral is "bacterial SSU rRNA". It matches the Rfam family "Bacterial small subunit ribosomal RNA", at positions 975 to 1368 of the family's 1533-position model. Lineage: Bacteria; Pseudomonadati; Pseudomonadota; Betaproteobacteria. The record is from RNAcentral.
CUACCCUUGACAUGGCAGGAAUCCCGAAGAGAUUUGGGAGUGCUCGCAAGAGAACCUGCACACAGGUGCUGCAUGGCUGUCGUCAGCUCGUGUCGUGAGAUGUUGGGUUAAGUCCCGCAACGAGCGCAACCCUUGUCAUUAGUUGCUACGAAAGGGCACUAUAAUGAGACUGCCGGUGACAAACCGGAGGAAGGUGGGGAUGACGUCAAGUCCUCAUGGCCCUUAUGGGUAGGGCUUCACACGUCAUACAAUGGUACAUACAGAGGGCCGCCAACCCGCGAGGGGGAGGUAAUCCCAGAAAGUGUAUCGUAGUCCGGAUUGUAGUCUGCAACUUGACUACAUGAAGUAGGAAUCGCUAGUAAUCGCGGAUCAGCAUGUCGCGGUGAAUA